This is a long non-coding RNA of Taeniopygia guttata (zebra finch), 7119 nucleotides long. The record is from Ensembl. Lineage: Eukaryota; Metazoa; Chordata; Aves; Passeriformes; Estrildidae.
GGGGAGAGUUACCCUGAUUUCAGAGCUGCCCUGCUCUGCUGGCUCGGAGUUUAUCUGUGCUCAAGGCCAGCAUAAAUCACUCCUGAUCUGGAUCAGAUGUGUCCUACUGGGCAAGCAGCAGAGCACAGAUCGAAGAUUAAUGAUCACCAAGGCAGAGACCUGGGCCCCUCUGCCAGGAGAAGAUGAAGCAUCCUCUGGGGAGCUCUGGCUCUGUCUGACAACGCUGGGAGCCUCUGCAGACAGCCCAGAGCAGACGGCUGGUUUUAGAUAGCUGGGGUUAGGGCAGAUGAAUUUCUCUCCUGAGAAGCUACCGGAUGUGACUGGUGUCUGAAUUGUAAUUUUCCAAGCCUUCAGGCAUGGUUAAGACACAAUAAAAUCCUCAUGCUGCGUUUGGACCAAGAGUGAAAAGUUCCACCUGAUAAUUCACCCCUGGCACAGUAGGGUGACAUCAAACCCUUUCUUUCUGAGCAUUCAUAGACUCCUGGAAUAUUCUGAGCUGGAAGAGAUGCACAGAGAUCAUCCAGCCCAGCUCCUGUCCCUGCACAGACCCCCCCAAAAUCUCACCCUGGGCAUCCCUGGAGGGGUAUCCAAACCCUCCUGGAGCCCUGGCAGCCUUAGGGCCAUGCCCAUUCCCUCUUUAGGACCCUUAAACAAUUUUUGCAGCUGUCAGGAGAAAUAAACCCUCGAAGAAAGGCAAAAUUUGGUACCUUCAAGCAGUACCUUCCCCACCAUCUCCCUGCAUGGCUCGGUGCAGAGCCUGUGGGUGUGCACAGGAAAGGAGCUGGGACACAAUGAUGGACCAGGACUGGCCUGGCACCAUGAGAUGUUUUAGGCGUGACCGUCACCCCCAGGGUGGGCAGCCACUCACCAGUGGCCAGCUCAGCUCUGGGUCCUGUUUUGGGGUGGUUUUGGGAUGUUUUUUUGCCCCUGUGCCUCGUGCUGGUGAAGCUCUGCUGCAGGAGUGAGGUUGUGCCUUCUGAAGGUCACAGAGUGGAUCUGCUGGAGAUGUCCCUUGCCAAAUGUAACACCAACAGCUGCAGAGAGGGGGAAAGCCAGGGGAAAAGACCCCAGUGGGGUUUACACUUGCACAGGGAGCAGCAGGACCCAGUGUUAUUAUUAGCCAGCAGUGUGCUGGGCCAUUAUCUGCCUUGACAGCUCCAGACCUCCAGGCUGCCCCUCCAAACGCUGCUGCUGCUGAUGUGCUGCAAAUGUUAAACAGCCACACUGCAAUUAUUUGACAGCAAUACAACUCCCCCUGUGCCCUCUGGCCCUCAGGCACCCGUGGCUUCCAUGGGAAAUGCUCCACCAGGAGCAGGGAGCUCCCAUCCUGGCUCCAGGAAGAUGUGGAAGAUGUGACUCCAAUUUGCUUUCACAAAGUACGCAGUUGCUCACUCUGGUCAGGAUUUUGUGCUCCCAGGAUGAGGGAUGCUUCCAUGACUGAAGUCAGAAAUAACAGCUGGAGCUGAGAAAUUGUUCCAUUUCCUAAAGAGAAACCAGUGCUUGAAUCACAGAAUUACAGAAAGUGCCAAGUUGGAAGGGACCCACAAGGAUCAUCCAGUCCAACUCCUCGCCCUGUGCAUCACCCAAUCAAUUUAGAUUCUUGCACACCAUUCAAAACUUUAAUUUUGGUGGAAGAAAGCGUAACAGAGGAAACCAAUAUUAUUAUGGAGAUUUGUAUGUUUGAGUAACACUCCAAAGUAUUUUUUUUGUUUCCUCAGAUUAUUUUUUGUAUGAAUAAGGUACACCCAAGACCUGAGCAGGUUUUUGUUAAAAAAUAACGUGCCAGUCAUAAGUCCUGCUGUCCAUAAAAAAGAGUUUUCCUUGCUCAGUCUUUAGCUAUGUGCAAAAAGAACCAUUCAGAACUGCUACUGUGAUAAACUGAAGGGGGUUAAUGCCUGGAAAAAUGCACAAAUCAGGAUAAUGGCAUUGGCACAAGACACUGGAGAGAGCAAAGCAAAAAGGAGAGAAUUAUACCAAAGACAAUCUGAGUUUGGUUUCAUAAAGUUUCCCUAAAUGAGGGCUAGGAUGCUUUUAAACCAUCUCAAAAGGAGCAAAACCACCCCAUGUUUUCAGGUAGAUUUUGAGCACCUGGUGAAAGGAUUUUUUGCAAGUCUUGGGCUGGGUUGUGGCUGCAUUUCUGCCUGGCUGCUGCAGAGAGCCUUGGGGGAUAUUUCUGAAAGAUCAAUACAGCCAGAGAUGCUGGAGGGAUCCUGUUCCUUUUUCAUGCUGUAAAAUUUAAUUUAAGUACCAAAUAAACUGGGGUUCCUGCCCAGCCCUGAGGGCUGACAUGAUUGUGCUGUGUUUGCUGAGCCUUCCACUGAUUUCUGAUGACUGCAUUACAUCCAUGAGGGAUAUUUUUUGCAGAUCCCACCCAGAAGACCUAACAUUUUCAGUUCUUAGGGGGAUCUCAUCCUGAUGGCAACUUCUGAGUGAGAAACAUUCUUUUUACUGCCAGAGGAAAGCAGCCCAUGGCUUUCAGUGCCUCUGUGGCCACUGAGCAGUGUCUGAGUAAUGCCUUGCCAUUAUUAUUCCAGAAACGUGUCCACAAACAAAUGGAAAGCCAAGAAGUGGUGCUUUGGUAACAUUUCCCAGCAUUGAUUUUAUUUGGAAUUAAAUUAGUCUUAUUGGUUUAUAAAUUUCAUCUGUGUGCAGUGGGCACCAGAAUCCUCAUUCCUUCCCAUUUAAGGUGUGCCAUGAAAUUUUAUUAAAACCUUUUUCUCCACAUUUACUCACACACAAUUUUUUUUUUUUCAAUCAGCCUCUCCGUAUGAAAAAAUGCUCACAAAAGCCUCAUGGAGGGAAAAAUGAAGGUUUAAGUCAGGAGUUUGAAAUUAAUGAGUGGCAAUGAUGUCUUUCCUCUAAGUUCUUCUGCCCCUGGCCCAUCAGAGGUCACCUCAACCACCAGCAUGUGAAAUUAGGCCAGGAGUAGGGUUUAGAUUAAUUAGAAAGAGAUCUGGAUCAGGUAUUAUCUGGUGCUGAGCCACCUCUGAAUAAAGUCAAAUUAUCCACUUCAGAGCUGCUCAUUAUCUGCUCACAUUUUUGAGUGGAUGAUGAUGGUUUUUCACUUGGAACACGGCAACCAACCUCCACUUAGAUCCUGGCACUGCUGCUGUGCAGAGCCUGUGGUCAGGCACCCACAGCACAGCUCUUAUUUGGAUAAAAUUAGCUGCAGGAAACCUAUCACUGAAAUAUUUUCUGCUCCUCUGCCAUGGCAUCAUUUGGCUGUUUUAUGCUCUAGUAAAUAACAAGUGAACUCAGGUGGAAGAGGAGACAAUAGGCCAGGCUGAUCUCACUGCCCCUAUCACCAAAUACCACAGUCAGGAAUGGUUCCUCUGAGGUGGGCUUAGAAAAAAGGGCUGGCCAACAGGGUUGGGAAGUUUCUGCCUCCUUUCCCAACAAUCAGGUUUAUUGAUGCCACAUUAAAUGCUCACAGCAGGUCACAGAAGAGCAUUUGUGCAUUUUCUCUGCUCUGUGUUGCAGCUGCUUUGCCGGCAUGAAGCAGAUUUGGAAGCUUUGGGAGAGUUUUGUGGUGUUCAUACAGAAAAAUAACGCCCAAGCUGAAUAAAGCUGGGUUUGGGUAGCCUUAAAUCAACUAAAUUCAGGCAUGUGAGUAAAAUAUGGAAACCCUGCCCUCCUUUCUGGAGCUGGGGCUGCAUGUGGACCAUAGAUCUCAUUCCCAAAUUUCCCUGCCACAGGAGCACAGGGAGGAGCUGGGCUUGUCCUCCUGGCACGUCCCCUCCAAAGUCACUUCUGGUGCUCAAAUCACACUGCUUUGGGUGACCUCAGCGCUGCCCUGGGAGUCUUUACCAGCAGCAGCUCUGGAGGCAGGAGAGGCCUUGGAUUAAAGCUGGGGAUUCCCAAAAGAGCCCCAAGACUGGAGCAUGGCAUUUAAAAGGAGGAUGAGAGAAGAGGAUGUGAAGACUGAGAUGUGUAAGGACACUUUCCUGCCACCAGUAAUGAGCAUCUCAUUAUGCACAAAAUGCCAACUCCUUAAUUCUUCUAAACAACAGCAUCAGCCCUCCACCAUUCAUUUAAGGAAAUGACUGGAAAGAAUAUAUUUUGUUCCAACAUUUAAGAGGCAUGUUGCUCUUUUCUCCUUGUUUUCCAUGACUGUUUCAGAGUGCUCUUCUCCCCACUGACUUUUGGGCAUGUUCUGAAAGGUUAGACCUUGAGAAAGGAUUGAAAUAUAUAUAUUUUUUUUUAGCCACACACACACCCCCCCUCCCCAAAUCAAAAGGGCACCUUGAAAUAUGAAGGAAUAUUUUAUACAACUACAAGGUAAAGGAAACUUCAGUUUUGUGGAUUGGCCAUGCCCACCUGUUUAAUUCAAGGACAAAAGAUGAACUCUAGCUGUACCAGUUCCCUAAUAGCAGAGUUUUAUGAAUGUAAUUACAUUUUUCUCCAUUUUCCCCCUCUUUCUAUCCUGCUCUUUCUGUACUUAAAAAGAUUCCUUUGUUUAGAAUUAUAAUGAUUUCUGUUAGAAAUUAUAUUCAUUUCAGCUCCUGUCUUUUUGGAGUAUUGAUGGAUCCCGUUAAAGGGCAGCUCUGCUUUGAGCAGAACUGGCUGAAUUUUAAUGGUACAUAAAAGGAUUUCUGCAUAAUAGCAGACUUGAACAGGGCUGAGAGAGGGAGUCUUUUUUUUUUUUUUAAUCACCCUGGGGAUGUGCAGAAAGCCCCUUUGGCAGUUUUUCAUCCUCACAUUCCCUGUUUGGCUGUGUUUUCCAUCAGCCCCAUGCUCUGUCCAUCCAUCCCUGUCCCCAGCAGUUUCCAGCUGAGAUUCAGGCCCAGAUAAAGCUCCCACCAUCAGAGCAUUAAUUACCACCAUCCUGCUGCCCUUUUUGGAGAGUGUUCACUCCCAUGGAUGGUGUUUUCAUCCACCACAUACCCACCAAACUCCAGGUUCUUGCUCCAAAGAGUGAGAGGUACCCUGGACACAUGGACACUCCCCAGCAGCAGCUUCUCUGACAGCCCAGCUCUUUGUUAAAACAGUGUGAACUUGGCUAAAGCCCUGAAAAAGUCACAGAGUCACCUGAAUUUUAUAUCUUUUUAUGGUAUAAAAUGAGUUCAAUCCACCCUGUGUGUUGACAGUACCUCAGGGAAGGGUGAGAACUGGAAGCUGUGUGAGGAAAAGGGGAAAAAGAGCAACCACUUUCAAGAAAGCAAAAAGCAGACAUGGCACGUGGCAAAUCUCAGGUAGAUUUGGAAGAUCAGCUUGCUGAAGGCAUUAAAAUAAUAUUACAAUAAUAAUACAAACUGCCCUGAGCAUAUCAGGAGCCUUCCUGGGAGUCUGGAGGGCAGGGAAGGGUGGUGGGAAUUAAUUGGGAAGGUUAAUUAUGGACCCCAGUGUUCCCAGCUCUGGGGCUCAAGCAGGGCUCCUCACCAGAGCUUUUCUGUGGGAGGGACAAGGCAGAAGAGCUGAGCUUCAGGUGGGAGGGUCUGGGGAUAAAUCAGAAAGAUGAAAAAUAACAAACUGCCAGGAGCACAUGGGCUUCGCUCCUGAUGGGUUCUAAUGGAACUCAAAACCCGAAAUCCAAACUCAGGGUCUGAAAUUGCUGUUAAUGGGGAGGGUAAAAAUCUGAGGUUUUCAUCUUCCUCAGCACAGAGAAGGCAAAGGUUGCAACAGAUUCACUGAUUUUUUAAAGGCUGAAGGGGAGUCUGGAGAGCUGCAGGACUUUAGGGUGCAAAGGACAAAAGUUGCACUAAAGAACAGAAUUAAAAGAGUGGGAUAAGGAUGACAAAAUAGGAAAGAGCACGGCUUUGCAGAGAGAAGCUGUGCCUCACAAAAUAUUUCCUGAGAAAUCAGGGUGUCCAUAAGGGUGCUCUGGUGGCUGCAAUAAUCUGGGGUUCUCAAGAGCUUUUAACAAGUUCUCUCCUUAAAGGUUCUUAAGGAAAAUAAGCUGAAGGGAUAAGAAGGAAGGUCCUUUAGUGAUUUAUUUAGUGGGUAAAAGCUCAGAACAGUGGUCUCACCCUGCAGAGCCUGGGGCUAUCAGUCAGGCUUCACAAAAACCGUGCAAAGAGCUGGGGCAAUUCCAUUUCCUGGCAAAAUGAGUUUUUUCAGGGCAGAAAAAGCUAAAAUGAAGGCCUGCAGAAGCUUCUCUGAGAGAGUGGGGGAUAAAACAGAAGAUGGAAUUCACAUAUUAAGAAAUGUAGGAUAAUGACCACUGUGAAAAAACAACAUUAAUUACAACCUCCACAGUGAUGAGCUGUAGAUUAGCUAUUAGCAUUCAGGGGAGAGAUUUGGGGCUUGCUUUGAACAGCGCUAUGGAAACAAUAGCUCAAGGCUCGGUGGGAAUGAGUCAGAAGGUACAGAGAAUUUUAGAAAUUAUUAGGCAAGAGAACAUAGCAGGAAAUGUAAUUAAGCACUGUUCAGACUCCUUGAAAGCUGUGCAUAGCUUGGGUUCCCCUGAGAAGGAGAGGAACACAAAAAACACACACAGAAAGGCAGUGACAAGGGCUGAAAACCCAAACCAGCUCCCUCAUCGAGGGGCUGAACAGGGAAUGAGGCUUUUCCCUUCUCUUUAUGCAGCAAGCUGCAGGCCUCCCACAAAACAGGCCCAAAAUAUUUUGAAACAAAUGGGAGGCAGUUUUCUUUUUCUGGCACAGGACAUCUCUGAACUGCAGAACUCAUUGCUGCAGGAUUUUGUGGAUGCCACAUUCAGCCACACUAAAAAUCGGGAGAUAAAUCAGUGCAGGGGAAGAGUUCUGUGGAUAAAUGAGAAAUUCUUGGGUGGGAACAGCCUCAAAAAGCUGGGAAGGUGGGCUAGGGAAAGGAAACCUGUCCUUGAAGAUGUGGAAGGAUAAAAGGUCAGAAAGAGCACCCAGGGCAGAGGGGACUUUGUGCUGCCCUGUCCACAGCUGGAAUUCUGCUGGAGAAGCUUUAUUUCCUCGGAAGAAAGAAGUGAAACCUCACAUUACAGAAACCAAUCUUCCAGGUGGAUCCAACAGGCAGCACACAGAUGGAUUUUGUGUUGUUUCCUCUGGGUUCUGCUUUUUUUGGUUGUGUCCUUGUCUUCCCAUCACCCUGGUUUUCUCUGCCUGGCUGCUGCCUGCAGGACCAUGUGAUUGCUCCUCUUAAUGGCACAUGGACAACAUGAGCUGUCCCCCCAGCUGAUCUUAUUUA